Long non-coding RNA from Oncorhynchus tshawytscha (Chinook salmon), 456 nucleotides. NCBI's taxonomy places the organism in Eukaryota, Metazoa, Chordata, Actinopteri, Salmoniformes, Salmonidae. The record is from Ensembl.
CUCUGUGUUCUACUGAUCUGAAGGUGUUCUCUCUCUCUCUGUGUUCUACUGAUCUGAAGGUGUUAUCUCUGUGUUCUACUGAUCUGAAGGUGUUCUCUCUCUCUCUGUGUUCUACUGAUCUGAAGGUGUGUUCUCUCUCUCUCUCUGUGUUCUACUGAUCUGAAUGUGUUCUCUCUCUGUGUUCUACUGAUCUGAAGGUGUUCUCUCUCUGUGUUCUACUGAUCUGAAUGUGUUCUCUCUCUCCCUCUCUGUGUUCUAAUAUUCUGAAUGUGUUCUCUCUCUGUGUUCUACUGAUCUGAAGGUGUUCUCUCUCUGUGUUCUACUGAUCUGAAUGUGUUCUCUCUCUCUCUCUCUCUCUCUCUCUGUGUUCUACUGAUCUGAAGGUGUUCUCUCUCUCUCUCUGUGUUCUACUGAUCUGAAGGUGUUCUCUCUCUCUCUCUCUCUCUGUGUUCUACU